UGGGGAAUUUUGGACAAUGGGCGCAAGCCUGAUCCAGCCAUGCCGCGUGCGGGAAGAAGGCCUUCGGGAUGUAAACCGCUUUUGUCAGGGAAGAAUCUUCUGAGUUAAUACCUCGGGAGGAUGACGGUACCUGAAGAAUAAGCACCGGCUAACUACGUGCCAGCAGCCGCGGUAAUACGUAGGGUGCAAGCGUUAAUCGGAGUUACUGGGCGUAAAGCGCGCGCAGGCGGUUUUGUAAGACAGAGGGUGAAAUCCCCGGGCUCAACCUGGGAACUGCCUUUGUGACUGCAAGGCUUGAGUGCGGCAGAGGGGGGAUGGAAUUCCGCGUGUAGCAGUGAAAUGCGUAGAUAUGCGGAGGAAACA
RNAcentral lists this ribosomal RNA (363 nucleotides) under uncultured bacterium. Its description in RNAcentral is "partial 16S ribosomal RNA". It matches the Rfam family "Bacterial small subunit ribosomal RNA", at positions 355 to 708 of the family's 1533-position model. The record is from RNAcentral.